AUUGAACGCUGGCGGCAGGCCUAACACAUGCAAGUCGAGCGGUAGAGAGGUGCUUGCAUCUCUUGAGAGCGGCGGACGGGUGAGUAAUGCCUAGGAAUCUGCCUAGUGGUGGGGGAUAACGUUCGGAAACGGACGCUAAUACCGCAUACGUCCUACGGGAGAAAGCGGGGGAUCUUCGGACCUCGCGCCAUUAGAUGAGCCUAGGUCGGAUUAGCUAGUUGGUGAGGUAAUGGCUCACCAAGGCGACGAUCCGUAACUGGUCUGAGAGGAUGAUCAGUCACACUGGAACUGAGACACGGUCCAGACUCCUACGGGAGGCAGCAGUGGGAAUAUUGGACAAUGGCGAAAGCCUGAU
RNAcentral lists this ribosomal RNA (355 nucleotides) under uncultured bacterium. RNAcentral's name for it is "bacterial SSU rRNA". It matches the Rfam family "Bacterial small subunit ribosomal RNA", at positions 30 to 387 of the family's 1533-position model. The record is from RNAcentral.